RNAcentral lists this ribosomal RNA (253 nucleotides) under uncultured bacterium. RNAcentral's name for it is "partial 16S ribosomal RNA". It matches the Rfam family "Bacterial small subunit ribosomal RNA", at positions 524 to 776 of the family's 1533-position model. The record is from RNAcentral.
UACGUAGGGUGCGAGCGUUAAUCGGAAUUACUGGGCGUAAAGCGUGCGCAGGCGGUUUUGUAAGCCAGAUGUGAAAGCCCCGGGCUUAACUGGGGAAGUGCACCCGAAACUGAGCGGCUUGAAUGCAAAAGAGGGUCGCGGAAUUCCCGGUGUAGAGGUGAAAUUCGUAGAUAUCGGGAGGAACACCGGUGGCGAAGGCGGCGACCUGGGUUGACAUUGACGCUGAGGCGCGAAAGCGUGGGGAGCAAACAGG